This is a long non-coding RNA of Andrographis paniculata, 1172 nucleotides long. RefSeq lists it as uncharacterized. NCBI's taxonomy places the organism in Eukaryota, Viridiplantae, Streptophyta, Magnoliopsida, Lamiales, Acanthaceae. The transcript has 6 exons. The record is from RefSeq and is a predicted model, not a curated record.
CAUUUCUGAGAAAAAAGGCAGUCGAAUUCAAUGAAGCAGUCGAAUUUGUAGAAAAAAUCAAGGCCACAUGUCAAGAUCGUGAUGAUGAUGAUGUGUACAAAGCUAUCAUUGACCUUUUAGAUAUGUACAAAAUGGGCAGAAAGUCCGCAAAGGAGGUUUAUAGUGAAAUCUCAGUUCUUUUCGCGGACUAUGUUGAAUUUAUUAUAGAGUUUGCUCAUUUUUUACCCUGUCUUUUGGGGACGGCAAGUGUUGAGCUUCCACGGCCUUAUAGGAAUACCAUCCCAUAUGGGGAGGGUAGAGAUUCCUCCAAUUAUUAAAGUUGCACUCCAAGUUAUCGACUUCUACCUCGCGAUAUUGUGAUCCCUACGUGAAAGAACAAAGAUUGGCGAUGAGGUUUUGAAUGAUAAUUGGAUGUGUGUUGCUUCAGAAGAAAGUAAGGAUUAUUCUUCCAAACACAUGCUCAAAAAUCCCUACGAAGAAAAACUUGUUUAAAUGUGAAGAUGCGAGGUUUGAAUUGGAUGUGUUGAUGGAAUCAGCCAAGACAGCAGCUAAUCGUGUUGAGAGACUGUUGAACAAUAUUGAAAGUCAUAAAAAUUAAAUUAGAUGAUUGAUUCCGUAUUGAAGAUCAUUUAAAAGCUCAAGAUCUACGGUGCAUUGAGCUUUUAUAUGGUGAACACGGGUUUGAAGUACUCGAGAGAUCAAUAAAGAGUGUUGACUUUUCACUACCGAUUAUGUUAAAUCGGUUGAAGCAGAGAUUGAUUGAAUGGACAAAUUGCCAUGCCAAAUUGAAUAUUGUUCGGAAAGAGAUUAAUGCGAAGAGCUACCCCAAACCUCUUGACUAUAGAAGCUUCUAUUUCAAGCAGCAGAAAGAUAUUAACGACUUUAGUCCUAAAAGUAAAUAGGUUCGAUUGAUUAUUUUCAUGUCUUACAUUGGUAAUUAGGUUUGAUUGAUGUUUAUGCAUUUUUUUUGUUUACCUUGUCUUUAUUUUACUCUUUUUGAACUGUACACACUACACAUUCAGUAAGACUGCAAAAAUAAUGUGUCAGUGCAUCAUCUGUAGCUUGAUUAAGAUGAAAGAUUACAGACAUCCUCGGGUGAAUGUGCUAUGGACAAUUCAAUGGUGUUUUUGGAUUACCUUUGAAAUAAUGUCUCUGUAGCUGCUCAAUUCAAU